AAUCUUAAUCUCUUAUCUAAAAUCUAUCUUAUUUAUUAUCUAUUUUAUUUUUUCUUUUACGUUAUUGUUAUUUGUUUUGUACCUGAAUACUUUAACUUUUAAAAACGUAAAUUCUAAAGGCCUCAAAGCAGAUACCAAAUUGUUUUAGCCUUUUAUGGUCAUCUCUUUUAUUUCUGGGCACCCACUUUUUAAUUUUCCCCACCCUUAGCUUGUUUCUUAUUAAAACAGGACGCUAGGAAUGAGAAGAGGAAAGCCAACUAACAAGCCAUGACCACUGAUAAAUCAGCAAUGGACUAAGGCUUCCCCAAUGGCUCUGGUGGUGCAUAAUCCCUUUGCCGCUGGAUUCAUGGCAUCUCGGGAGGCACAAAUAACUAGGGCCGCCGCACUUGGACGAGGAGCUGCCACCACAGGGUUUAUCCACUUCUUAGGCUCAAACUGAAGCCUCCAAAUACAAGAAAGAAUGGACUCCAAAUACAGGAAGGAUGGACCUUUCCGGCAGCUUUUUCAUACUCAAUGAAGAGUGGGUUUGAACGAAAAUUUUGGUCAGAAGCUUCUGGUAGGUUUUCCGUUGUUCCAAUAGUCUCUGCAAUCAGGGCAGGUGCAAUUAAGGUUCA
Molecule: non-coding RNA, 614 nt
Organism: Arachis ipaensis
Lineage: Eukaryota; Viridiplantae; Streptophyta; Magnoliopsida; Fabales; Fabaceae
Source: RefSeq, a predicted model, not a curated record